Molecule: ribosomal RNA, 527 nt
Filed under: uncultured bacterium
Lineage: Bacteria
Description: bacterial SSU rRNA
Rfam family: Bacterial small subunit ribosomal RNA
Source: RNAcentral
AAUAGAUACGGGUAGUCCACGCCGUAAACGAUGAGUGCUAAGUGUUAGAGGGUUUCCGCCCUUUAGUGCUGCAGCUAACGCAUUAAGCACUCCGCCUGGGGAGUACGGCCGCAAGGCUGAAACUCAAAGGAAUUGACGGGGGCCCGCACAAGCGGUGGAGCACGUGGUUUAAUUCGAAGCAACGCGAAGAACCUUACCAGGUCUUGACAUCCUCUGCCAACCCUAGAGAUAGGGUGUUCCCCUUCGGGGGACAGAGUGACAGGUGGUGCAUGGUUGUCGUCAGCUCGUGUCGUGAGAUGUUGGGUUAAGUCCCGCAACGAGCGCAACCCUUGAUCUUAGUUGCCAGCAUUUAGUUGGGCACUCUAAGGUGACUGCCGGUGACAAACCGGAGGAAGGUGGGGAUGACGUCAAAUCAUCAUGCCCCUUAUGACCUGGGCUACACACGUGCUACAAUGGAUGGUACAAAGAGCUGCGAACCCGCGAGGGUAAGCCAAUCUCAUAAAGCCAUUCUCAGUUCGGAUUGUAGG